RNAcentral lists this long non-coding RNA (972 nucleotides) under Homo sapiens (human). RNAcentral's name for it is "non-protein coding lnc-TMEM234-2:1". The record is from RNAcentral. Lineage: Eukaryota; Metazoa; Chordata; Mammalia; Primates; Hominidae.
GCGGCGUCUCUGGGUAGGUAGCCGGCCCCGCCCUUCCAUGGAUUUCCCGACCCUCGCCUCGAAUUCAUUUCCUGCUCCACAUCCACCCUCUAACCCCGACCCCUGCUACAACCCCAGAGGCCGGACUCCUGGAUUCAUCUCCCUAGCUUCCCUGGGCCUGCCUUAGCCGCCAGUCGCAGCCGAGGCGAAGAGAGCGAAGGAGGGAAGUGGGGGCGGCUAGCUGGGGCUAGAAGGCCAGGAGAGGGCGGGGUGGGCGGCCGUUUGGGGUGGGGGUCAGGGUGACUCACUCGUCUGCAUUCAGGGCAGGUGUUGGCUCUGGUGCUGGUGGCCGCUCUGUGGGGUGGCACGCAGCCGCUGCUGAAGCGGGCCUCCGCCGGCCUGCAGCGGGUUCAUGAGCCGACCUGGGCCCAGCAGUUGCUACAGGAGAUGAAGACCCUCUUCUUGAAUACUGAGUACCUGAUGCCCUUUCUCCUCAACCAGUGUGGAUCCCUUCUCUAUUACCUCACCUUGGCAUCGACAGGCUGGUCCCAGACCUCAGAGUUCAGGUCUUCAUGCUGGAAUCCUGGGAAGCACUGAACGUGGAGUCAGGAGAUGUGGGUUUGAGUCCUGAGAUUUGCUGUGACUUCAUCUGGAAGAUGGGGUUUUGAUACCUUUUUUAAAGAUCUGACCCUGGCUGUGCCCAUCUGUAACUCUCUGGCUAUCAUCUUCACACUGAUUGUUGGGAAGGCCCUUGGAGAAGAUAUUGGUGGAAAACGAGCAGUUGCUGGCAUGGUGCUCACCGUGAUAGGAAUUUCACUCUGCAUCACAAGCUCAGUGAGUAAGACCCAGGGGCAACAGUCUACCCUUUGAGUGGGCCGAACCCACUUCCAGCUCUGCUGCCUCCAGGAAGCCCCUGGGCCAUGAAGUGCUGGCAGUGAGCGGAUGGACCUAGCACUUCCCCUCUCUGGCCUUAGCUUCCUCCUCUCUUAUGGG